UACAGAGGGUGCAAGCGUUAAUCGGAGUUACUGGGCGUAAAGGGCGCGUAGGCGGUUAACUAAGUCAGACGUGAAAUCCCUCAGCUUAACUGGGGAACUGCGUCUGAUACUGGUGUGGCUUGAGUGCAGGAGAGGAACGCGGAAUUCCAGGUGUAGCGGUGAAAUGCGUAGAUAUCUGGAGGAACACCGGUGGCGAAGGCGGCGUUCUGGACUGCAACUGACACUGAGGAACGAAAGCCAGGGGAGCAAACGGG
RNAcentral lists this ribosomal RNA (254 nucleotides) under uncultured bacterium. Its description in RNAcentral is "partial 16S ribosomal RNA". It matches the Rfam family "Bacterial small subunit ribosomal RNA", at positions 524 to 776 of the family's 1533-position model. The record is from RNAcentral.